GAUGAAGAACGUAGCGAAAUGCGAUACGUAAUGUGAAUUGCAGAAUUCAGUGAAUCAUCGAAUCUUUGAACGCAUAUUGCGCUCUUUGGUAUUCCGAAGAGCAUGCUUGUUUGAGUAUCAGUAAACACCUCAACCUCUUCUUGAUUUUUCAAAAGGAGGGUGGACUUGAGCUAUCCCAACAACCUUUACCGGUCGGCGGGCGGCUUGAAAUGCAGGUGCAGCUGGACUUUUAUCUGAGCUAAAAGCAUAUCUAUUUAGUCCUCGUCAAACAGGAUUAUUACUUUUGCUGCAGCUAACAUAAAGGAUAAUUGUCCUCUUUGCUGACUGAUGCAGGAUUUUACGACACUUUAUGUGUUGUUCAACUCGAUCUCAAAUCAAGUAAGACUACCCGCUGAACUUAAGCAUAUCAAUAAGCGGAGG
Molecule: unclassified non-coding RNA, 420 nt
Filed under: soil metagenome
Description: partial contains 5.8S ribosomal RNA, internal transcribed spacer 2, and large subunit ribosomal RNA
Rfam family: 5.8S ribosomal RNA (bases 1-120)
Source: RNAcentral